Pongo abelii (Sumatran orangutan) is the source of this 117-nucleotide unclassified non-coding RNA. It matches the Rfam family "Metazoan signal recognition particle RNA". From Rfam's summary of the family: The signal recognition particle (SRP) is a universally conserved ribonucleoprotein. It is involved in the co-translational targeting of proteins to membranes. The record is from Ensembl. NCBI's taxonomy places the organism in Eukaryota, Metazoa, Chordata, Mammalia, Primates, Hominidae.
GCCAGGUGUGGUGGUUCACACCUGUAAUCCCAGCACUUUGGGAGGCAGAGGUGGGAGGAUCGCUUGAGCCCAGGAGUUCAAGGCCAGCCUGGGCAACAUGGUGAGACCCCAUCUCUA